This 421-nucleotide ribosomal RNA is filed under the name uncultured bacterium. RNAcentral describes it as "bacterial SSU rRNA". It matches the Rfam family "Bacterial small subunit ribosomal RNA", at positions 355 to 775 of the family's 1533-position model. The record is from RNAcentral.
UCGAGAAUCUUCGGCAAUGGGCGCAAGCCUGACCGAGCGACGCCGCGUGCGGGAUGAAGGCCUUCGGGUUGUAAACCGCUGUCGUAGGGGAGGAAGGUCUGGUGUAUAGCCAGGCUUGACCGAUCCUAGGAGGAAGGGCCGGCUAAUCUCGUGCCAGCAGCCGCGGUAAUACGAGAGGCCCAAACGUUAUUCGGAUUUACUGGGCUUAAAGAGUUCGUAGGCGGCGCAGGAAGUGGGGUGUGAAAGCCCUCGGCUCAACCGAGGAAUUGCGCUCCAAACUACUGUGCUCGAGGGACCUAGAGGUGAGCAGAACUGAUGGUGGAGCGGUGAAAUGCGUUGAUAUCAUCAGGAAUACCGGAGGCGAAGGCGGCUCACUGGGGGUCUUCUGACGCUGAGGAACGAAAGCCAGGGGAGCGAACGG